This 223-nucleotide long non-coding RNA is filed under the name Elaeis guineensis (African oil palm). Its description in RNAcentral is "long non-coding RNA (EGUI_LNC082743)". Lineage: Eukaryota; Viridiplantae; Streptophyta; Magnoliopsida; Arecales; Arecaceae. The record is from RNAcentral.
UCCCUUUCUUGAAAAGUCUCAAUUCCUAGUCUAUAAAAAGGGGACCCCUCUCUUGGACGUCCCAUAAUCAAUUCUCUUAUGGAUUUUUUAUUUUUAGAGCCUCUUCUCCUCCUCCUUGCUUCCUCCUCUAGAUCUCCUAUCACUUUGGAGUAUCCAAGAUGCUUGUAGAAGAAGGAAGAGAUCAGUUGUCGAAGUUGUUCGCAAACUAGUAUCUCCGAGCUCC